AGUUUUUGCAGGUGAUUUGUUCUUUCAUCCAUCAUUAGCAGUAUUUCGCCUGUCAUCCAAAAUUUACUUUUUCCCUGUCUUUGGUUCUAAUUGCUUCUUCUGCUAAAAUACUCAGUACUUUUGCAUUUCCAUUGAUCUUGUGUGUGACACUGUGAAUCUGUUAAUUUACCUAUUGGAGUAAAACUGGAAGCCGAUAAUCACAGUUUGAAAAUGUAUUUUUAUGGUACCUGCAAUCCUGUAUCGUUUUCUAAAAUGCCUUGCUACUUAUGUUUCCGUUAUACAGUCUUAAACCAAAUAUAUCCCCAGAUAUUAAUUCAGAUAAGCCAACAAACGCAGAAUUCCAUCGGCAACCAAUCCAGCGAAAUGCCUAUAACCAAAUCAGAUGAUUUGCCCAUAAGCACAUGUGUCUGUUAAUAGAUAACGCAUUCUUGCGACCGUAGGUUGCAAGAAUGCAGUCAGAUUAUAUCAAAAUAUAUUUAUUUACUUGA
Molecule: long non-coding RNA, 488 nt
Organism: Dendroctonus ponderosae (mountain pine beetle)
Lineage: Eukaryota; Metazoa; Arthropoda; Insecta; Coleoptera; Curculionidae
Exons: 2
Source: RefSeq, a predicted model, not a curated record